RNAcentral lists this ribosomal RNA (255 nucleotides) under uncultured bacterium. RNAcentral describes it as "partial 16S ribosomal RNA". It matches the Rfam family "Bacterial small subunit ribosomal RNA", at positions 524 to 776 of the family's 1533-position model. The record is from RNAcentral.
UACGUAGGUGGCAAGCGUUGUCCGGAUUUAUUGGGUUUAAAGGGUGCGUAGGCGGUUUUUUAAGUCAGUGCUGAAAUACUCCAGCUUAACUGGAGGGGUGGCAUUGAUACUGGAAGACUUGAGUACAGAUGAGGUAGGCGGAAUUGACGGUGUAGCGGUGAAAUGCAUAGAUAUCGUCAAGAACACCGAUAGCGAAGGCAGCUUACUGGGCUGUAACUGACGCUGAUGCACGAAAAGUGUGGGGGAGCAAACAGG